GACGAACGCUGGCGGCGUGCCUAAUACAUGCAAGUCGAACGAACCGCGACUAAGUGCUUGCACUAAGUCAAGGUGAGUGGCGAACGGGUGAGUAACACGUGGGUAACCUACCUCAUAGUGGGGGAUAACAGUCGGAAACGACUGCUAAUACCGCAUAGGACAUAGGAUCACAUGCUCCAGUGUGGAAAGGUGGCGCAAGCUAUCGCUAAGAGAUGGACCCGCGGUGCAUUAGCUAGUUGGUAGGGUAAAGGCCUACCAAGGCGAUGAUGCAUAGCCGACCUGAGAGGGUGAUCGGCCACAUUGGGACUGAGACACGGCCCAAACUCCUACGGGAGGCAGCAGUAGGGAAUCUUCCACAAUUGACGCAAGUCUGACGGAGCAACGCCGCGUGAGUGAAGAAGGUCUUCGGAUCGUAAAGCUCUGUUGUUAGAGAAGAACAGCGCAUAGAGUAACUGCUAUGCGUGUGACGGUAUCUAACCAGAAAGCCACGGCUAACUACGUG
RNAcentral lists this ribosomal RNA (502 nucleotides) under uncultured bacterium. Its description in RNAcentral is "partial 16S ribosomal RNA". It matches the Rfam family "Bacterial small subunit ribosomal RNA", at positions 28 to 507 of the family's 1533-position model. The record is from RNAcentral.